Molecule: ribosomal RNA, 390 nt
Filed under: uncultured bacterium
Lineage: Bacteria
Description: bacterial SSU rRNA
Rfam family: Bacterial small subunit ribosomal RNA
Source: RNAcentral
AAUGAACGCUGGCGGCGCGCCUAAUACAUGCAAGUCGAGCGAGAAGACGUAGCAAUACGUUUGUAAAGCGGCGAACGGGUGAGGAAUACAUGGGUAACCUACCCUCGAGUGGGGAAUAACUAGCCGAAGGUUAGCUAAUACCGCGUACGCUUCUUGGACUUCGGUUCAGGGAGGAAAGCGAUACCGUGGGUAUCGCGCUCUUGGAUGGGCUCAUGUCCUAUCAGCUUGUUGGUGAGGUAACGGCUCACCAAGGCUUCGACGGGUAGCUGGUCUGAGAGGACGAUCAGCCACACUGGCACUGCGACACGGGCCAGACUCCUACGGGAGGCAGCAGUAAGGAAUAUUGCGCAAUGGGGACGAAAGCCUGACGCAGCGACGCCGCGUGGGGGA